AUACGGAGGGUGCGAGCGUUGCUCGGAAUCACUGGGCGUAAAGCGUGUGUAGGCGGCCGGGUAAGUCAGAUGUGAAAGCCCUCGGCUCAACCGAGGAAUUGCAUCUGAUACUGCUCGGCUUGAGUACGGGAGAGGGAGGCGGAAUUCCCAGUGUAGAGGUGAAAUUCGUAGAGAUUGGGAGGAACACCAGUGGCGAAAGCGGCCUCCUGGACCGAUACUGACGCUGAGACACGAAAGCGUGGGGAGCAAACAGGAUUAGAAACCCCAGUAGUCC
This 274-nucleotide ribosomal RNA is filed under the name uncultured bacterium. Its description in RNAcentral is "partial 16S ribosomal RNA". It matches the Rfam family "Bacterial small subunit ribosomal RNA", at positions 523 to 796 of the family's 1533-position model. The record is from RNAcentral.